GGACAGACAUCCUGUCAUGUCCAUCAUAGAGACACUUGAAGCCAAUCAUAAUGCAGCAUUCUCCUGGACAAUGGGAUCACUUCAUAAUCCUAAGUGACCCAACUUAAUACAGAACACUAACCAUAUUUCAAAUGACAUGAAUGUAGGAGAGGAGAAGAAUUCAGACUAAAAAUUGAGACUGAAUUGGGAUUGAAACUUUCCGACUCUGAUCCUCAGACUUGAGCUGGACUCCCAGCUGAAGACCAGAAACCUGACUUGGACCUGAGCAUCAGUCUCCACCCCACAGGCCCCGCCAAAGACAGGGAACAGUUCUGGAAAACAUGGUGGAGGUUUCUGCCGCAAUGCUGGAGAACAACGUCUGCUGCAAAUGCAGGUGUGAAGCUCCAGCUACGAGGAGGAGGAGGAGGACACUUAAGAUGUUCAGUCGAUGAAAACAGUUGAUAAAAAGCCAAGAAAUCUCACCAGAAACGACGUGGCCAUGUUUCCUGAUUACUUACUGUUAAUGGAAGAUCUAAUUAAUCUUUGUUUGUACAGCCUUUUAAAUACAAAUUGAAGGUCAAAGAACAGAUCUUAGUGAAUAAAGACAGAAAAUGCAGUUUC
Oryzias latipes (Japanese medaka) is the source of this 600-nucleotide long non-coding RNA. RefSeq lists it as uncharacterized. Lineage: Eukaryota; Metazoa; Chordata; Actinopteri; Beloniformes; Adrianichthyidae. The record is from RefSeq and is a predicted model, not a curated record.